GAUGAACGCUGGCGGCGUGCUUAACACAUGCAAGUCGAGCGAUUCGGAUCUUCGGAAGUUUUCGGAUGGAAGAGGAUUUGACUUAGCGGCGGACGGGUGAGUAACGCGUGGGUAACCUGCCUUACACUGGGGGAUAACAGUUAGAAAUGACUGCUAAUACCGCAUAAGCGCACAGGGCCGCAUGGUCCGGUGUGAAAAACUCCGGUGGUGUAAGAUGGACCCGCGUCUGAUUAGGUAGUUGGCGGGGUAACGGCCCACCAAGCCGACGAUCAGUAGCCGACCUGAGAGGGUGACCGGCCACAUUGGGACUGAGACACGGCCCAAACUCCUACGGGAGGCAGCAGUGGGGAAUAUUGGACAAUGGGCGAAAGCCUGAUCCAGCGACGCCGCGUGAGUGAAGAAGUAUUUCGGUAUGUAAAGCUCUAUCAGCAGGGAAGAAAAUGACGGUACCUGACUAAGAAGCCCCGGCUAACUACGUGCCAGCAGCCGCGGUAAUACGUAGGGGGCAAGCGUUAUCCGGAUUUACUGGGUGUAAAGGGAGCGUAGACGGUUUAGCAAGUCUGAAGUGAAAGCCCGGGGCUCAACCCCGGUACUGCUUUGGAAACUGUUAGACUUGAGUGCAGGAGAGGUAAGUGGAAUUCCUAGUGUAGCGGUGAAAUGCGUAGAUAUUAGGAGGAACACCAGUGGCGAAGGCGGCUUACUGGACUGUAACUGACGUUGAGGCUCGAAAGCGUGGGGAGCAAACAGGAUUAGAAUACCCUGGUAGUCCACGCCGGUAAACGAUGAAUUAUUAGGGGUCGGGGGGGCAAAGCCCUUCGGGUGCCGCGGCAAACGCCAAUAAGUAUUUCCCCCUGGGGAGUAGUUUCGCAAGAAUGAAACUCAAAGGAAUUGAGGGGGACCCCGCACCAAGCGGUGGAGCAUGUGGUUUAAUUCGAAGCAACGCGAAGAACCUUACCAAGUCUGGACAUCCCACUGAAAACACUUUAACCGGUGUCCCUCUUCGGAGCAGUGGAGACAGGUGGUGCAUGGUUGUCGUCAGCUCGUGUCGUGAGAUGUUGGGUUAAGUCCCGCAACGAGCGCAACCCUUAUCCUUAGUAGCCAGCGAGUAGAGUCGGGCACUCUGGGGAGACUGCCAGGGAUAACCUGGAGGAAGGUGGGGAUGACGUCAAAUCAUCAUGCCCCUUAUGAUUUGGGCUACACACGUGCUACAAUGGCGUAAACAAAGGGAGGCAAAGGAGCGAUCUGGAGCAAACCCCAAAAAUAACGUCUCAGUUCGGAUUGCAGGCUGCAACUCGCCUGCAUGAAGCUGGAAUCGCUAGUAAUCGCGAAUCAGAAUGUCGCGGUGAAUACGUUCCCGGGUCUUGUACACACCGCCCGUCACACCAUGGGAGUUGGUAACGCCCGAAGUCAAAGACCCAACCGCAAGGAGGGAGCUGCCGAAGG
RNAcentral lists this ribosomal RNA (1443 nucleotides) under uncultured organism. Its description in RNAcentral is "16S ribosomal RNA". It matches the Rfam family "Bacterial small subunit ribosomal RNA". The record is from RNAcentral.